CAUUACAUGGAUUAUUUUACAUCUGCAUGCCAAAUUAUUAUUUGAGUUGUGGGAUUUCAACGAAGAACAAAACAACAAAACAAAAAUGGGAAUAUGGACACAGUGGAAGAGUCAGGAUCUUUAUUCUCCUAACAUGAACUUCAUGUUAUAACUGUUAUCCUGGCGAUAUUAGAGAGAUGCUCAUCAAGGCAAGGUGAUGAUUACCAGAGGGAAAACAAAGAACCUGUAGUUGAGCAUCACCUGUGUGAUCAUGAGAAGGCUGAAGAACCAGGAGUGACAAGAUAUCACCGGC
Perca fluviatilis (European perch) is the source of this 292-nucleotide long non-coding RNA. RefSeq lists it as uncharacterized. Lineage: Eukaryota; Metazoa; Chordata; Actinopteri; Perciformes; Percidae. The transcript has 3 exons. The record is from RefSeq and is a predicted model, not a curated record.